UCUCCGUGGAAACCCUUGGGGUAAACAUGUUGCUUGUUCUUCCAAUAAAGAAUUGAACCACCAGAGGGCCUCAGGCGACUCAGGAGGUUUGGGAAGAGACAAAGGCACAUGCUUAGAGGGUCUGGAGAAGGCGAGGAAGAAGGAAGGGAGCCAAGUAAAACAUGUGACUGACCAGGGGCUUUGGAGAAGACAAGCCCUGCAGGAAGGCACGCAUGUGGUCAUUCUGUCUGUAGCCUCCCAUUCCUCCCUGCUUUCCCCAGCUGCAUCUACCUGGAUCCUGAAUUUGAACCAAGUGGUCCAAACGGCCCGGUCACCUGAGCAACCCCUCUGCAGGAACCGCAGGGUCGGGCCACAGGGAGAGGAGCGAGGCCUUGAUGUCACAGAUCUGCUUUGAGGCCCAGCCUUUGGAUGUGCACUGCUGCCAGUUCUUGAUUAUUAAAUCCCAUUGUGGUGGAAGCAUUGUCUGAUUUGUACAAAAACAAAAAAGCACAAAAACUGGAAGCAGUCUGGAGUCUGUCAACAGGAGAAUGGAUGAAUAAGGGAACUAUCUGAUUGUGGCCUAUUUGAUGGAAUAUUACUCUGCAAUCAAAAGGAACAGACUGAGACUGAUACACGCAGCAUGGAUGAGUCUUCAGGACAUUGUGUCAAGUAAGAGAAGUCAGAUUCAAAAGAUGAAGUCCUUUCCUGAGCACUUACUACAUGCCAGACACCAUACCAGGGCUGGCUACAUACUCUGUUGGGAAGAAGGCUCAAAAAUGAAUCCUCUCAAGCAGACCCGCUUUGGUUUCCACCCCUCUAUUCUGAGAACCCAAGCUCAACCCAUGUGUUCUGCCUUCAGGUAGAAAAUGUCAGAAUCAUAGGGAAGACUAAGCUGAAAAAAGAAUUUGGAGUUCCAAAGGAAUUCUGUGCCACCUGCCGUCCGGCAAUUCCCUUUGCCAGGUAAUGGCAUGACAGUAAAGACGCACUCUGUUCUGAAUAAGCAGAGAACCGGCUUGGCCUAGGACUUACGUUGAGGUGGGUAAUGUUCGAAAAGACCCAUUUGCUAGGGCAUCUCAGGGAAGGCACAGAAGCCUUUGCAGGCGAGGCUGCAGAGAGAAGAAAACGCACGGGAGACAGUCCUGAUUCCAAGGGGUUACAAUUGGUUGGGGAGGCAAGGCAGCCACAAAGAAAGCACAGCAUGUUUGGGCCAGGUGGGUGCUUCCUUAGGACAGCACUGCCUGUUUGGGAAACAGUUGUAGAAACAGAUGGGACAAUCCUUGUCCAUCGAGAUGGGGUCAGAGUGACUGCACGAAAAUAUGGCUACCCCGAGUUACCAUGGCUACCAACA
RNAcentral lists this long non-coding RNA (1327 nucleotides) under Homo sapiens (human). RNAcentral's name for it is "HSALNT0130733". Lineage: Eukaryota; Metazoa; Chordata; Mammalia; Primates; Hominidae. The record is from RNAcentral.